Molecule: transfer RNA, 59 nt
Filed under: Typhlocharis cf. laurentii CA68
Lineage: Eukaryota; Metazoa; Arthropoda; Insecta; Coleoptera; Carabidae
Description: tRNA-Leu
Source: RNAcentral
AUUAUUUUGGCAGAUUAGUGCAAUGAAUUUAGAAUUCUUUUAUAUAAUUAUAAAUAAUA